AACGAACGCUGGCGGCAUGCCUAACACAUGCAAGUCGAACGAGACCUUCGGGUCUAGUGGCGCACGGGUGCGUAACGCGUUGGAACCUGCCCUUAGGUUCGGAAUAACUCCCCGAAAGGGGUGCUAAUACCGGAUAAUGUCUUCGGACCAAAGAUUUAUCGCCUUUGGAUGGGCCCGCGUUGGAUUAGCUAGUUGGUAGGGUAAAAGCCUACCAAGGCGACGAUCCAUAGCUGGUCUGAGAGGAUGAUCAGCCACACUGGGACUGAGACACGGCCCAGACUCCUACGGGAGGCAGCAGUGGGGAAUAUUGGAAAAUGGGCGAAAGCCUGAUCCAGCAAUGCCGCGUGAGUGAUGAAGGCCUUAGGGUUGUAAAGCUCUUUUACCCGGGAUGAUAAUGACAGUACCGGGAGAAUAAGCUCCGGCUAACUCCGUG
Molecule: ribosomal RNA, 433 nt
Filed under: uncultured bacterium
Lineage: Bacteria
Description: partial 16S ribosomal RNA
Rfam family: Bacterial small subunit ribosomal RNA
Source: RNAcentral